RNAcentral lists this long non-coding RNA (855 nucleotides) under Ixodes scapularis (black-legged tick). RNAcentral's name for it is "uncharacterized LOC115314520, transcript variant X2". The record is from RNAcentral. Lineage: Eukaryota; Metazoa; Arthropoda; Arachnida; Ixodida; Ixodidae.
ACGAAGUAUUAUAGUCACGUGAUACAUCCCCUGCGUCAGGAAGUGGUCCGACGUGAUAAACCGAACGGUCCGGCCGGAGGACAAGGAAGCGUGGAAGAAGAACCGAAGCUUCCGAGGCAACGUUCGCGGGAAGUCUAACCGCUUGAAGCACGUUGCAGAGUCGAGACCAGUUGAGCGGCCGGAAUUUUACGAACGAUUAUGCAAGUGUACGUCUUGAGGACGACCAUGAGCCACAUAUCAUCUCAAAUUUCUGCCCGUCAAGCCUUGUGACGAAACGGAAUCUGACUUCUUCAAGGCGCGGAUCCUAAAGUUGUUUGGAUCGCAGAGUGACGCGGAAACCCAGUGACAGUAAGCGGGUGCUAGUACCUCCGACGAGAUGAGUGACUGCCCGGGAGGGCUGGAGGAAGCUUGUAUGAGACAGAUGGCCUCCUUGGCGAAUUGUAACCGGCAGACCUUCAAACCGCACAAAGGCUAAGCAAAGCCAGAACUGGAUGCAGCAAGACUAAAAGCUUUAUAAUAUACUCUGGCCCGAGCCUGAACCAGGCCAAUCAACGUGCUGGCCCGAACCAGGCCAAUCAACGUGCUGGCCCGAGCCCGGCCCGGGCCCACAGUCAAAAGUCCGAGCCCAUCCCAGGCCUGGGCUUUCGGCUCAGCAAAGUCUGCGGAUCUGGUUAUGCUUCCUGUACGAGACAGAUCACGAAACGGUUGCUGACUGACCAGUUGGGGCGAAAAUUUUUGUGGGAAGGACGUAAGAGAAAGUUGACAUUCAGGAACCUUCACCUUGCUGAGUGCAUCAUAAAUGCAGUGCAGAGCUGCCAUAAAUGUGAAGACUUCAAGGUAGAAACCAUGGUCACG